GAGAGCGGCGAACGGGUGAGUAACACGUUGGUAUCUGCCCCCAAGUCAGGGAUAGCCAUUGGAAACGAUGAUUAAUACCGGAUAGUCUCUUCGGAGUAAAGAUUUAUUGCUUGGGGAGGAGCCUGCGUUCUAUCAGCUAGUUGGUGAGGUAAAAGCUCACCAAGGCUAUGACGGAUACCUGGUCUGAGAGGAUGAUCAGGCACAAUGGAACUGAGACACGGUCCAUACUCCUACGGGAGGCAGCAGUGAGGAAUCUUCCACAAUGGACGAAAGUCUGAUGGAGCGACACCGUGUGAAGGAUGAAGGCCUAACGGUUGUAAACUUCUUUUCUGAAGGAGCAUAAUGAGAGUACUUCAGGAAUAAGGGACGGCUAAAUACGUGCCAGCAGCCGCGGUAAUACGUAUGUCUCGAGCGUUACCCGGAAUCACUGGGUGUAAAGGGUUCGUAGGCGGUUUAAUAAGUUGGAUAUGAAAGACCGGAGCUCAACUCCGAGUUUGUAUUCAAAACUGUUAAACUAGAAUUAGGGAGAGGUAAGCGGAAUUCUAAGUGUAGGGGUGCAAUCCGUAGAUACUUAGAGGAACACCAAAAGCGAAGGCAGCUUACUGGAACUAUAUUGACGCUGAGGAACGAAAGCGUGGGGAGCGAAAAGGAUUAGAUACCCUUGUAGUCCACGCCCUAAACGAUGAUAACUAAGUGUUGCACUUUGGUGCAGUGCUGAAGCUAACGCGUUAAGUUAUCCACCUGAGGAGUACGGUCGCAAGAUUAAAACUCAAAGGAAUAGACGGGGACCCACACAAGCAGUGGAUCACGUGGUUUAAUUCGACAAUAAACGGGGAACCUUACC
This 844-nucleotide ribosomal RNA is filed under the name uncultured bacterium. RNAcentral describes it as "bacterial SSU rRNA". It matches the Rfam family "Bacterial small subunit ribosomal RNA", at positions 91 to 975 of the family's 1533-position model. The record is from RNAcentral.